RNAcentral lists this ribosomal RNA (253 nucleotides) under uncultured bacterium. Its description in RNAcentral is "partial 16S ribosomal RNA". It matches the Rfam family "Bacterial small subunit ribosomal RNA", at positions 524 to 776 of the family's 1533-position model. The record is from RNAcentral.
UACGUAGGCAGCGAGCGUUGUUCGGAGUUACUGGGCGUAAAGAGUGCGUAGGCGGCGUUCCAAGUUUGGUGUGAAAUCUCCCGGCUUAACUGGGAGGGUGCGCCGAAAACUGGGGUGCUAGAGUGCGGGAGAGGUAAGCGGAAUUCCUGGUGUAGCGGUGAAAUGCGUAGAUAUCAGGAGGAACACCGGCGGUGUAGACGGCUUACUGGACCGUGACUGACGCUGAGGCACGAAAGCGUGGGUAGCAAACAGG